Molecule: non-coding RNA, 74 nt
Organism: Podarcis lilfordi (Lilford's wall lizard)
Lineage: Eukaryota; Metazoa; Chordata; Lepidosauria; Squamata; Lacertidae
Source: the annotation of a GenBank genome assembly
GCCUGGGUGGUUCAGUUGGUUAGAGCAUGGUGCUGCGAAUGCCAAGCUUGCAAGUUUGAUCCCCGCAUGGGACA